CCUACGGGAGGCAGCAGUCGAGAAUCAUUCACAAUGGGGGAAACCCUGAUGGUGCGACGCCGCGUGGGGGAAUGAAGGUCUUCGGAUUGUAAACCCCUGUCAUGUGGGAGCAAAUUAAAAAGAUAGUACCACAAGAGGAAGAGACGUCUAACUCUGUGCCAGCAGCCGCGGUAAUACAGAGGUCUCAAGCGUUGUUCGGAAUCACUGGGCGUAAAGCGUGCGUAGGCUGUUUCGUAAGUCGUGUGUGAAAGGCGCGGGCUCAACCCGCGGACGGCACAUGAUACUGCGAGACUAGAGUGAUGGAGGGGGAACCGGAAUUCUCGGUGUAGCAGUGAAAUGCGUAGAUAUCGAGAGGAACACUCGUGGCGAAGGCGGGUUCCUGGACAUUAACUGACGCUGAGGCACGAAGGCCAGGGGAGCGAAAGGGAUUAGAUACCCGUGUAGUC
Molecule: ribosomal RNA, 446 nt
Filed under: uncultured bacterium
Lineage: Bacteria
Description: partial 16S ribosomal RNA
Rfam family: Bacterial small subunit ribosomal RNA
Source: RNAcentral